RNAcentral lists this unclassified non-coding RNA (313 nucleotides) under plant metagenome. RNAcentral's name for it is "partial contains 5.8S ribosomal RNA, internal transcribed spacer 2, and large subunit ribosomal RNA". The stretch from base 1 to 105 matches the Rfam family "5.8S ribosomal RNA", at positions 50 to 154 of the family's 154-position model. The record is from RNAcentral.
GAAAUGCGAUACGUAGUGUGAAUUGCAGAAUUCAGUGAAUCAUCGAAUCUUUGAACGCACAUUGCGCCCUUUGGUAUUCCAAAGGGCAUGCCUGUUCGAGCGUCAUUUGUACCCUCAAGCUUUGCUUGGUGUUGGGCGUCUUUUGUCUUUGGCCUCGCCCAAAGACUCGCCUUAAAACGAUUGGCAGCCGGCCUACUGGUUUCGCAGCGCAGCACAUUUUUGCGCUUGCAAUCAGCACAAGGACGGCAAUCCAUCAAGACUACAUUUUUACGUUUGACCUCGGAUCAGGUAGGGAUACCCGCUAAACUUAAGC